Molecule: long non-coding RNA, 1185 nt
Organism: Mauremys mutica (yellowpond turtle)
Lineage: Eukaryota; Metazoa; Chordata; Testudines; Geoemydidae
Exons: 2
Source: RefSeq, a predicted model, not a curated record
UCUCUACCCUGGAGAAUCUCCAGCUGGGGAGAUCUGUUUGCUUUCUCACCCAUUUGCACAGUCACAGCUGCAGAAAGGUCCUGAACAGCAAUCUGGCUCCUAUCGCUUGGAGAGGACAGGGAAGAAGCUACAUUGGGAGGAAUUUAAGAUUGCAAAUUAACUCGGACAUUUGAGCAACUUUGAAGCUACACUCGACUUGAUCUUGCAUGGUGCCGAUGUGGAGAGUUGUGCACAUAAGCACAAUGUAUAAAGGAAGGAGCAGGACAGUGAUCAUCAAAACCCCGGGCCUGCAUAAGAGCUGAUGCAUGGCUGCCAAGCUACACGUGCCUAGUAGUUGAAAUAAGACCUAUGAGGAAAAAUACAUACAGUAGCUAAGCUCCUCACGAACAUGAUGAAAAUCAUGCUGAGACCAUGUCUCCUCAGACGUUCUCCUCUUGUACCGUGGACACUAGCAAUUAAGAGAGAGAGUGCAACAAGACUAGGGACUUCUACUGAUCAGUGUGAAGGAUUAUUGGUGGCUCCUUAAUCUUACUUGUGCCUGGCAUUUGUGCUGCAGUAAAACACCAUUAUAUAUUCUGCUGUGUACUAUGUAAGGACUUGCAGGAUCAGGAUUAGGAUGAACAGUGGUGGAGGAAUUCAAUAUUUCUGUGUCUGUUUAUUGACUUUGGCUGUAAGCCAUGGUAAUGAGGAGCCUGCAAAAGGCCAGAGAUGAAAUGUGGAAGGGGACGGAAAGUGAGGAAGGACAAAGUAAAGAAUCAGACAGGAACACAGACUGCUCUUGGACAUGCAGUUCUGAUUGAAGCUCCUGGGAGGUGAAUAUGAGCUCUUAAGGCACAAUAUGGCCUAUACGUUUUGUCAGUGUUCAAUAAUGCCUGUACUACUUCAGAAAAUGAAGCAACACAUUUAUUAAUAAUUGAUAUAUAACUUUAUUAUGCACAGACGAAGAUGACAUGACACUGUGGUUAUCAAAACUGUACAACUAAGCAUUUCCCCAAGUCUUCUGAAAUACUGAACACAGAACUAAAUACCAAUGGGGUGUUCAGACUGGCCAGAGGGAUUAAUGGAUUCAUUUCUCCCAUUGAUUUUUUUAAAAUACAUCUGUGAUGAAAUUUUGUAAUUAAGAACUGAUUAAAAAACAAAUCAAAGUACUGUGUUUGGAACCAGUUGAAAACAUGAUAGCUAAUA